AACGAACGCUGGCGGCAUGCCUAACACAUGCAAGUCGAACGAGACCUUCGGGUCUAGUGGCGCACGGGUGCGUAACGCGUGGGAACCUGCCCUUAGGUUCGGAAUAACUCCCCGAAAGGGGUGCUAAUACCGGAUAAUGUCUUCGGACCAAAGAUUUAUCGCCUUUGGAUGGGCCCGCGUUGGAUUAGCUAGUUGGUAGGGUAAAAGCCUACCAAGGCGACGAUCCAUAGCUGGUCUGAGAGGAUGAUCAGCCACACUGGGACUGAGACACGGCCCAGACUCCUACGGGAGGCAGCAGUGGGAAAUAUUGGACAAUGGGCGAAAGCCUGAUCCAGCAAUGCCGCGUGAGUGAUGAAGGCCGUAGGGUUGUAAAGCUCUUUUACCCGGGAUGAUAAUGACAGUACCGGGAGAAUAAGCUCCGGCUAACUCCG
This 431-nucleotide ribosomal RNA is filed under the name uncultured bacterium. RNAcentral describes it as "partial 16S ribosomal RNA". It matches the Rfam family "Bacterial small subunit ribosomal RNA", at positions 29 to 505 of the family's 1533-position model. The record is from RNAcentral.